GCCGCCUGGCCGCGGGAUUUCCGUAGGUGANACCUGCGGAAGGAUCAUUCGCACGCAUCCACUCGAUUCAUUGUGCACAGCCUUCUGUGAGGGUCUGGGGGCGGGUGGAGAUCGCAUCGAUGCCCGCGCGCAGAAACUCGAGGGCGGCAGGCCGAGAACGGGCCGUCUUCUGUUCUCGUGCCUUGCUGCCGAAUUCCAUUGAACUUUUGCACUUCCAACCGCAUGAAAUCGUGAGUGGUUGUCCACGGAUACAACGGUUUUGUACAACUUUCAGCGACGGAUGUCUCGGCUCGAACAACGAUGAAGGGCGCAGCGAAGUGUGAUGAGCAUUGUGAAUUGCAGAAUUCCGUGAACCAAUAGGGAUUUGAACGUAUACUGCGCUCUCGGGAUAUCCCUGAGAGCAUGCCUGCUUCAGUGUCUACUCCUCUAAUACUCGCAGCGCUGCACACUUUGGUGGGCAUGCUGAUGACGUGUGAUUGUGUGUCAUGGUUUCGUAUCCUGACGCAUUGAGUGUAAUGGUUGGUCUGCCAUCGGCAAUUGAAAGCGUACCGGUUCCCUUUCUUGCGCUCGAUGACACAUUGCAACCGCAGUCAAUCCGUACGGGUUAACCCCAGACAUGAAGUUAGGUCAGCAAACCCGCUGAAUUUAAGCAUAUCAAU
RNAcentral lists this ribosomal RNA (659 nucleotides) under uncultured eukaryote. RNAcentral's name for it is "eukaryotic LSU rRNA". The stretch from base 266 to 420 matches the Rfam family "5.8S ribosomal RNA". The record is from RNAcentral.